UAACUGACAGUGUUGAACAAAGACUCUAAAGAAGCCCUGCAGCAUCCAACUGAGCAGCACAGCCAGGAAGGAGAGUCUGGCUCCUCUCUCCCUGCAAGAGGUCCCACUCACCACCUCCAAGGAGUCUUGCAGUGGCAUCAGUUAGAGCACAUGCAGUACAAAAUACUCCCUGCUUUCAACUGAGGGGAAUGUUCUUUAGAUGGACUGUUCUUAAAUGGCACCCUCUGUGGAGACUCUGUUCCUUUCUGUGGCUGGGGAUAGGAAUGGAUUACCAACAGACUGAGGACCUUCUGCCUCUGCAUGUACACAGGAGCUGAGAACUGUUCUACUUGUCGCAGGGAAGAGAAGGCUUGUGAGCAACACGUGUCAUGUGCUGGCCCCUUGUAGGAACUCAACAUCUUUAAACACCAUUAAUGGUUUAAACUGAUUUCAUUGCCAGGUGUGGCUAAUGCUGGUCCAACAGAUCAAAAGCUGGAAAAGGGGAGCUGAGGUAAACAGAAAGCAUCAUAUGAAACUGGGUUAAAAAUACAGAAAAAAAGAGAAUAAAAUUACUUAUAAUAAAGAGAAAUUGAUUACGAAUACAGUUGAGUCAGCUGGGUCUUCCACAUCUCCUGUCCCUUCCACAUCACCUCUGCAUCUUCUCCCAUUCAC
Molecule: long non-coding RNA, 651 nt
Organism: Tyto alba (common barn owl)
Lineage: Eukaryota; Metazoa; Chordata; Aves; Strigiformes; Tytonidae
Exons: 3
Source: RefSeq, a predicted model, not a curated record